UACGAAGGUCCCGAGCGUUAUUCGGAAUCACUGGGCGUAAAGGGAGCGUAGGCGGCGUGGUAAGUCAGAUGUGAAAUCUCAGAGCUCAACUCUGAAACUGCAUCCGAUACUGCCAUGCUAGAGUAAUGGAGGGGUAACUGGAAUUCUCGGUGUAGCAGUGAAAUGCGUGGAUAUCGAGAGGAAGACCAAUGGCGAAGGCAGGUUACUGGACAUUUACUGACGCUGAGGCUCGAAGGCUAGGGUAGCGAAAGGG
RNAcentral lists this ribosomal RNA (253 nucleotides) under uncultured bacterium. RNAcentral describes it as "partial 16S ribosomal RNA". It matches the Rfam family "Bacterial small subunit ribosomal RNA", at positions 524 to 776 of the family's 1533-position model. The record is from RNAcentral.